UUCUGAGGCUUAGUAUGAAGACAGGAUUCCCUGGGGUUGGAGAGGCCUUGGGGACCAAGAGCAUGUUCCGCUCCUGCACAGGACUGGAGCCUGUUUCUCGGAACCCCUAUCAGGGGACCAGUAAUUCUAGAAUGUUCUUCAUCAUGCGAUGUUCUGAACUUCUUCAGAGUGGAACAAAAAGCAGGGAUUUGAUGGAUUAAAAAUGAAAAUUGGA
Molecule: long non-coding RNA, 214 nt
Organism: Mesocricetus auratus (golden hamster)
Lineage: Eukaryota; Metazoa; Chordata; Mammalia; Rodentia; Cricetidae
Exons: 2
Source: RefSeq, a predicted model, not a curated record